AAAGAGAAGAGAGAGCAGAACUCUUGGUAGUCAUUUUUCUCUACUUCUUUAACAGAGCCAGUGGUACUGGGGAGCUGCAAUCCUGAUUAUUACUUGCAAGCAUUUAUUAGUUACCUAGCUGCAUUCAUGCCCUCAGCCAGCAGCCCUUCAAGGUUAGCCUGUGCAGGGUUCAGCAGAGGGUUUAGCUGCUUGCCCUGGUCCCAGCACAACAGCCUUCAAAUGGGAACUUACCUUAAUGGUGACCAGUGUCCCAUCUUGCCAGGGAGGUCAACAGAAGUUUAGCCGCUGACAUCAUGAACAGGAUUGCAACCCGUAUCUGUGAUUAGUGAUGAAAUGAAACCCACAGCUUGAAAUCAUUUAUCCAUCAUAUCCGAUCAAACACAAACAUCCUCUGCACUUGAAAAUAAAUGAGGGUUGGAGCCAGCUCGCCUCUGCA
This 436-nucleotide long non-coding RNA is filed under the name Chrysolophus pictus (golden pheasant). RNAcentral describes it as "lncRNA (ENSCPIG00010010472.1)". Lineage: Eukaryota; Metazoa; Chordata; Aves; Galliformes; Phasianidae. The record is from RNAcentral.